UUCCCACCACCCGCCCCCCCCUUUGUCCAGCUGGGACACGGAGUGGCCAUGGGCCUCCUCCCCCACCCCUCCAGUCCCCCCACUGGCCCCUCCAGUCACCCCUCAUCGCCGUGUCCCCCUCAGAGCUAGAGAGACGGGGCCCCUGUGCGGCCAAGGGGCAGAGCUGGGCGUCACCUCCCGAGCGUCCUGCCCUCCCCUGCCAGCGCCCCCCACGCCUCCGCUGCCAGUGCCUUACAUUCUGGAGCGACCUCCCUCCCCGGUGCCUCCCAGCCCAGGGGGCCCGUUUGCACUUUCAUCGUCCGCCCCCCGCAGGGGGCUCAGCUGGGAGGAUGCGACUCCCGGCUGGGUCCCCGAGGUGAGAGGAGGCCGGCGCCAGUGGGUCCUCGCUCGGGAUGGGGAGGGCUUUGGGCGGGGCUUCGGCGUCGCACCUCGGGGCCCCCCGCGGCCGUGUAGGGGGCCUUCCAUCUGCUAAGCGUUUUCCGUUGAGCCGCUCCAAAAACACUAAGCUGGGGACGCCAGGUUCCCCCACCCCACCCCCCGGCCCCACCCACACCUCCACCUCCACCCCGGGAUCGCCAUCUUUAGGGGAGGCCUGGGAGGGGGGGUUAGGUGUUUUAGGGCCACCGAGCUCAAACACAAGGACCCCUCUCCCAGCCCACCCCCAACUGACCUCCAUGCCUAGGGAGAAACCCCCCCACCACAGCCCCCACCCAGGGCCAAAGCCAGGGCAGGGUCUCCGGGUCUCACCUGCUCCCAGCCUCACCCCGACCCCCACCACCUGUCCCGAAAACCAGACUCUCCUCCCAAACCAGCCCCAGGGGCUUGGCGAACACACUCGCUCCCAAAGAGAAAGACCCAGGACCCUUCCCUGUCACCCCGAGAGAGGUUCUCCAUCCUCUGGCCUCAAUCCCUUGGUCCGUCCGUCUGUCCUCAGGGCCCUGGCCCCCCUCCACCGGUGGCCCUUGGGGACCAAAGCGUGAGCCGCUCUCCAGGAGGGCGGGUGUGGGCGGGGGGUAGGGUCGUGCUGUUGGAGUAUCUGGAAGCUUCUCAGCCAGGGUGGGGGUCGUGGGGUGCAAGUGGGGGCCAGCCGGGCUCCCAAGGGGUCAGGGCGCAUCGAGAACCAACUCUUUACCUAACUUUGCAUGGUGCUUAGUCAAGGACUCCUGUGUCCUGGCCCCUGAGGUCAGCUGGCGGCGCUGACACAUGCAUGGCAGACGAUACCUGGCUCUAUCUCCCUCCCCCUCGCCCCCCUCCACUCCCAACUCCCUCUUAAAAAAAAAAAAAAAAAGAUACAAAAAAAAAAACCUUAAAAAAAAUUCCAUGUUUCCUAAUUUGCACGAAAUUUUCUACCACAAAAUGUGCCUUGCCUUCCGAGAGUAUUACCUUUAAACAAUAUCAGCGCACACACAUAGCUGCAUGUUCUGCUCGUGUAGUUAAAAAAAAAGACAAAACAGUGACAUGAAAUAAAAAAAUAAAAAUUGAAAAGGGAUGUAUUUCUAUUUGUAAAAAAAUAAUAAUAAUAAAAAUAAAAAAUAAGAAAGUGAGAAUCUUUAAAAAAAAAAAAAGGAAGAAACACCCGGUCCCCUGGCUCCCCUCUGUCCUGUCUCCCCUCCCGCUGUACUCAGGGGCGCCCCCUGGUGCUCAGCCUCUACCACCCCCGGCCCUGCUCUCGGUGCCCAGAGGACAGACCUCCGGGGCUCAUCCUGGUCCCCGGGAAGGUCUCUCCUCUCCGAUUGGUCCUGGGCCAUGGGCUGGCCCCCAGACACCAUUCACUGACCCACUGCAGGCCAUUCCCCCGCAACUGUAGGGCGGCCAGACUCCCCCUCCCCACCUUGCAUGCUGGCGUCCCCCCAGCUCAGGGUCAAAUGCUGUCCUGCUCCCACCUCAGAGGCACCCCCUCUCCCCCGCCCCGUGCACCCCCCCCUUCUUGCCAAAGGACCUGCUUCUCCCCUAUCCGGAGACCACCCUCUUCUUUGUCCCCUUUGCCCUGUCUUCCGUCUUCCAGCUGUGAAUAGGAACGAAACAAAAAAACAAAACCUGAUAUAUGCAAUAUCUGUGUGUCUAUACCCUUGGCCUGGCUCAGCCACCCGAGGCCCCGCCGAGGGUCCGGCAGGGCACAGGGACAGCCAGGCGGCACCGAGUCGCGGGCCGUGGUCUGGUGGCUGACCAUGCUGUUGUCUUGAUUCUUUCUCUUGUUCUUUCUCUUUCUUUCGAACUCCAGCUUCCUUUGCUUUUUUCUUGACCAAAGCUAAGACAAUAGCCAGAUGGUUAGUGGGGCAGCCAGGCAGGGAGGACCCGGGGUGCGAUGCCCCAGCGUUAGGCGGUUCCUGCAGUGCUUGACACCCCCGGGCAUCUCAUGCAGGGACCCACACAGAUGGUCCCCUCCAUUCACCAUUGCCCGCCGUCAGGGUGCCGGGUGGUCUCCACAGCCACCAUCAUACACUCACCCCAUGUUUUCUUCCAAAAAGACACCUCAGCAGUCUCCCCAGGUGACACAGGGAGAGCCCAAGCCCCCACAGCUGGCCACGGCAUUACCGUUAAGAACUGUCCCUCAGCCAGAGAGCCCAGGCUGGCUGUGUGCACCAUCCACGUCGCUGAUGUCCAGCUUUUUUCUUCCCCUCCUGAGCAAAUCGUCUUGCCCGGGACCUGGGAACAACCAGCAGCAAAGGGAAUGGGUGGCACCAUCGCUGCUGGGACCAUCACGUCCCUGCACAGCCCACACCCGGGGCCCAGGGCCCCUGCAGAAGGAAGGCCGGGCGCCGCCCUCCUCACCCCAAGCUUGCAUCCUGGGCUCACUGAGCACCUUUGCUGAGCACAGCAGGGAAACCCAUGCUGGGCGGCACAUUGUGGAUAGCUUCGUUUCUCCCCCCCCCCCCCAUUUCUUGGAAAAGCUACAGGAUCGCCAUAGGGUACAAUUCCUGGGCACCUAGCUGCAGACAGACAAAAACACCAGGAACCAGGAUUCCAUGCCCACCUCUGCAGUUCACAGAAGGGGUGCCUCAUCCCUGGGUGGAGGGCAAGGUGUGGGUUUUGGUGGUGAGUUUUUUUUUUGGUUUUUGUUUUUUUUUACAUGUAUGAAACUGACAUCUUGAACCUGUCCCACCCCCUCCCGAAGCCCCCAUCACCCACCCCUGUGGUGGGCACCACACUCAUGCCAAGCACCCUGGUCUCAUUCUGGGGUCUUAUAGGGAGGCUUCCCAAAUAUAUGCAAAUCGUCUCCAUCCUUUCUCUGGGUGGAGACACUUGACACCAACCGGGGUGGAGAUGGGGCGUGGGGGAGUAGGAAGACCCAGCCCUACUUGACUGCGGGAGGGGGGAUCCGGAGUCCGUCACCUCCAGGUCUGGAGCCCAGGUUCUGACCCCAGAACCCCACCCUGGACUAGACAAUCAGAUCCCAAAGGACGCCAAAGGGAACUCGAUUGGGAGAGCUGCUUAGAAGCCAGACCUGGACCCCCCGCAGCUCCCCAGGCAGCAGACAAUUCCAGCUUCCCUGCCCCAGGACCUUGUGUCCGUCCCCAGCGACAGCAGCGUCCCAGGCACGGACAGACUGGGCUGUAUGUACCCCACUGUCCCUUGCAAGACAGGUCUUGGAGCCAGGAGCAACUGUCCAGCCCUCCAGAAGAGACAGCAAGCAGGCCUCUCCCACCCUGGCCUCCCCAGUGGUUCUUUGACCUCCAGUGUAGGGCUGUACUAGACAGAUAUAUAUAUAUAUAUGUAAUUUUGGAAUUUGUCAUAAUACAAAAAUAUACAGUGGCCCCCUUUUAUCUUGGCCUGGAUUCUCUCUCUGAGACCCCAGACUUCGCUUGCUUUUUGGAGGGCGCUGGGACAUACAUCUCUCAACCCAGCUUCCUCCGCAUCCUCCCGUCUUUCCCCGUUUCUGCCCCAUUGGACACCUCCUGAGUGUCUCACCUCCAGACCUAUACCACUGCCCAUCCGUCGCUCAGUGGUUCAGUGCCUGGGAUCAGUCCACCACCCUCGGCCUCCCCCCAGGGCAAGGUGAGGAGGCGGACCCAAAGCAACGCCAGCAGGACCUGUCGCCAGUGAUACCAAAACAGACUUCCCAAGCAGUGCCUCGCACGUCCACUGGUGUGGCCUUGAGAUUCUCCUGCCCCCCUUUCCCUGGCAGCCCCUCCCCAAGGCCUUGCUCAUACCUGAGGCGGGAAGGAGGAAGGGACCAAGGCCUUGCUCAUACCUGAGGCGGGAAGGAGGAAGGGGAUCCCACAGGAAUAAGGGCUCCAGAGAGGAAGGACGUCAUGCACCCCCAAGCCGCCACCCCCCCCCAGCCUUCCACGCACAUCUGGCCGGAAGAGAACCCUCCGAAAGGGGGAGAGUGGCUGCCCCAGCCCCUCAGCUGCAUCCAUACCCCAUCCUCUCAUCUUGGGUCCCAGCCAGGCCCCCCCAAAACCAAAGUCCCCUCAAGCCUGGGGUCCCAGCCUGUGCCCCCAGCUUCCUGCCCACCCAGCCCUGAGCACCCUCACACAGGGAAAGAAGCAAAGGCUCUGGGGGGGCCAGGAUGGGACAGGUGAUACAGUGGGGGGUCGGGGGGCAGCAGGGAGGAGGGACGCAGAGGACAUUUUCCUCUUUGGGUAUUUUUUUUUUCUUUUUUUUUCUCCCCCCUUGCUGUUUGAGUGCUGUCGCUUUUCCUUUCCUCUUCCCUUUGAGAAGUUCGUUCGUUUCCGUUUUGUAUUUUACUGAUAUUACCAGGAUAGUUUACUCCUAGCGCCCUGCUUACCGCGCACCGGAUAACACACACGCACACACCCACAGAAAUGCUCGUGAACCCAACCCAGAGAAGGUUCCGGCUGGGGCCGCGCCCUCCCCCUCCUCCUGCUCCUCCCGACAGACAGCGAGGACAGGAGGGGGACAAGGGGACACGCGGGCAGACCUGCCGGCCCUCCCCCCGCCCCGCCCCUCACAUGCUCCCAUCAUAACCUUGUAUAUUACGCAGUCAUUUCGGUUUUCGCAGGAGCGCCUACUAAGUACCAUUUACAGAAAGUGACUCUGGCUGUUCAUUACUUUGUUUGUUUGUUCCCUAUGCAAAAAAAAAAAAAAAGAAAAAAACAGAAAAAAGGGGGAUUCCAUAAAAGAUUCAAUAAAAGAUUUAAAAAAAAAUGUAUAAAAAUUAAAACAAGCUAUGCUUCGACUCUU
Molecule: non-coding RNA, 5148 nt
Organism: Callithrix jacchus (white-tufted-ear marmoset)
Lineage: Eukaryota; Metazoa; Chordata; Mammalia; Primates; Cebidae
Source: RefSeq, a predicted model, not a curated record